Molecule: ribosomal RNA, 262 nt
Filed under: uncultured archaeon
Lineage: Archaea
Description: partial 16S ribosomal RNA
Rfam family: Archaeal small subunit ribosomal RNA
Source: RNAcentral
AGACGUCUACAUUAGAUACCCGGUAGUCCCAGCCGUAAACUAUGCGCGUUAGGUGUAUCGGUGACCACGAGUUACCGAGGUGCCGAAGGGAACCGUGAAACGUGCCGCCUGGGAAGUACGGUCACAAGGCUGAAACUUAAAGGAAUUGGCGGGGAGCACCACAACAGGUGGAGCCUGCGGUUUAAUUGGACUCAACGCCGGGAAGCUCACCGGAUAGGACAGCAGAAUGAUUGCCGGGCUGAAGACCCUGCAUGACUAGCUG